Molecule: ribosomal RNA, 966 nt
Filed under: Escherichia coli
Lineage: Bacteria; Pseudomonadati; Pseudomonadota; Gammaproteobacteria; Enterobacterales; Enterobacteriaceae
Description: partial 23S ribosomal RNA
Rfam family: Bacterial large subunit ribosomal RNA
Source: RNAcentral
GAAAAGAAAUCAACCGAGAUUCCCCCAGUAGCGGCGAGCGAACGGGGAGGAGCCCAGAGCCUGAAUCAGUGUGUGUGUUAGUGGAAGCGUCUGGAAAGGCGCGCGAUACAGGGUGACAGCCCCGUACACAAAAAUGCACAUACUGUGAGCUCGAUGAGUAGGGCGGGACACGUGGUAUCCUGUCUGAAUAUGGGGGGACCAUCCUCCAAGGCUAAAUACUCCUGACUGACCGAUAGUGAACCAGUACCGUGAGGGAAAGGCGAAAAGAACCCCGGCGAGGGGAGUGAAAAAGAACCUGAAACCGUGUACGUACAAGCAGUGGGAGCCUCUUUAUGGGGUGACUGCGUACCUUUUGUAUAAUGGGUCAGCGACUUAUAUUCUGUAGCAAGGUUAACCGAAUAGGGGAGCCGAAGGGAAACCGAGUCUUAACUGGGCGUUAAGUUGCAGGGUAUAGACCCGAAACCCGGUGAUCUAGCCAUGGGCAGGUUGAAGGUUGGGUAACACUAACUGGAGGACCGAACCGACUAAUGUUGAAAAAUUAGCGGAUGACUUGUGGCUGGGGGUGAAAGGCCAAUCAAACCGGGAGAUAGCUGGUUCUCCCCGAAAGCUAUUUAGGUAGCGCCUCGUGAAUUCAUCUCCGGGGGUAGAGCACUGUUUCGGCAAGGGGGUCAUCCCGACUUACCAACCCGAUGCAAACUGCGAAUACCGGAGAAUGUUAUCACGGGAGACACACGGCGGGUGCUAACGUCCGUCGUGAAGAGGGAAACAACCCAGACCGCCAGCUAAGGUCCCAAAGUCAUGGUUAAGUGGGAAACGAUGUGGGAAGGCCCAGACAGCCAGGAUGUUGGCUUAGAAGCAGCCAUCAUUUAAAGAAAGCGUAAUAGCUCACUGGUCGAGUCGGCCUGCGCGGAAGAUGUAACGGGGCUAAACCAUGCACCGAAGCUGCGGCAGCGACGCUUAUGCGUU